GUAGGGAAUAUUGCACAAUGGGCGAAAGCCUGAUGCAGCAACGCCGCGUGCGCGAAGAAGGCCUUCGGGUCGUAAAGCGCUUUUCGGGGAGAUGAGGAAGGACAGUAUCCCCGGAAUAAGGCUCGGCUAACUACGUGCCAGCAGCCGCGGUAACACGUAGGAGCCAAGCGUUAUCCGAAUUCACUGGGCGUAAAGCGCGUGCAGGCGGCUUGAAAAGUUGGAUGUGAAAGCUCCUGGCUCAACUGGGAGAGGACGUUCAAAACUAUCGAGCUAGAGGACGGCAGAGGGAGGUGGAAUUCCCGGUGUAGUGGUGAAAUGCGUAGAUAUCGGGAGGAACACCAGUGGCGAAGGCGGCCUUCUGGGCCGUUUCUGACGCUCAGACGCGAAAGCUAGGGGAGCGAACGGGAUUAGAUACCCCUGUAGUCC
This 426-nucleotide ribosomal RNA is filed under the name uncultured bacterium. RNAcentral describes it as "bacterial SSU rRNA". It matches the Rfam family "Bacterial small subunit ribosomal RNA", at positions 354 to 796 of the family's 1533-position model. The record is from RNAcentral.